This 329-nucleotide unclassified non-coding RNA is filed under the name soil metagenome. RNAcentral's name for it is "partial contains 5.8S ribosomal RNA, internal transcribed spacer 2, and large subunit ribosomal RNA". The stretch from base 1 to 120 matches the Rfam family "5.8S ribosomal RNA", at positions 35 to 154 of the family's 154-position model. The record is from RNAcentral.
GAUGAAGAACGCAGCGAAAUGCGAUAAGUAAUGUGAAUUGCAGAAUUCAGUGAAUCAUCGAAUCUUUGAACGCACAUUGCGCCCCUUGGUAUUCCGAGGGGCAUGCCUGUUCGAGCGUCAUUAUAACCCCUCAAGCUCAGCUUGGUGUUGGGGCCUGCUGCACUGGCAGCCCUUAAAAUCAGUGGCGGCGCCAUCUGGCUCUAAGCGUAGUAAUUCUCCUCGCUAUGGAGUCCUGGUGGAUGCUUGCCAUCAACCCCCAAUUUUUCUAUGGUUGACCUCGGAUCAGGUAGGGAUACCCGCUGAACUUAAGCAUAUCAAUAAGCGGAGGA